Molecule: ribosomal RNA, 490 nt
Filed under: uncultured bacterium
Lineage: Bacteria
Description: partial 16S ribosomal RNA
Rfam family: Bacterial small subunit ribosomal RNA
Source: RNAcentral
AUUGAACGCUGGCGGCAGGCCUAACACAUGCAAGUCGAACGGUAACAGGAAGAAGCUUGCUUCUUUGCUGACGAGUGGCGGACGGGUGAGUAAUGUCCGGGAAACUGCCUGAUGGAGGGGGAUAACUACUGGAAACGGUAGCUAAUACCGCAUAACGUCGCAAGACCAAAGAGGGGGACCUUCGGGCCCCUUGCCAUCGGAUGUGCCCAGAUGGGAUUAGCUAGUAGGUGGGGUAACGGCUCACCUAGGCGACGAUCCCUAGCUGGUCUGAGAGGAUGACCAGCCACACUGGAACUGAGACACGGUCCAGACUCCUACGGGAGGCAGCAGUGGGGAAUAUUGCACAAUGGGCGCAAGCCUGAUGCAGCCAUGCCGCGUGUAUGAAGAAGGCCUUCGGGUUGUAAAGUACUUUCAGCGGGGAGGAAGGGAGUAAAGUUAAUACCUUUGCUCAUUGACGUUACCCGCAGAAGAAGCACCGGCUAACUCCGUG